Molecule: long non-coding RNA, 2725 nt
Organism: Gallus gallus (chicken)
Lineage: Eukaryota; Metazoa; Chordata; Aves; Galliformes; Phasianidae
Exons: 3
Source: RefSeq, a predicted model, not a curated record
CUCUCAUGGAAAUCUGCUUAAAGAUGUCGUCCUCCUGCCAUCGUGUGUCAAUUUGAGCAGGCUCUUCCUCAGAUUAGCUAAUAGGAAACUUUUGUUCCUUUAGAGGAGCAGAGGAACUGCCUUCGUUUCAUUGAGCUGUCAGAAACCUGAACACCAGGAAGCAAUUGUUUUUGAUUGCAGAUUUGGCAUUUAUCUGUUGCUGUGACCUGGGCACUUGGAGCAAUGUACUGAGCACAGUGGCUUUGCAGCCACAAACCAGACACCUACCUACUGACCUACCUACCUACCUACCUACCAAUGAACUGAUCGAUCUACCAACCUACCUACCGACCUACCUACCGACCUAUGUACCUACCUACCAACUGAUCAAACAACAGACCAACCAACGGACCAACCAACUGACCUACUUAUACCAAGCUGGUGGGCAAUAUGCAUCUUGGAUGAGCUUCACCAACAGUCUAAGAUCUCCACAAAUGUACAUUUUUGGUUAGAAAAGUAGUAUUGUGAAAGCGAAGCUGCAAAGAUAAUCCUGCAGCACUUUACACUUUCUGCAUUAAUUGUUUUCUAUACCCUGUUUUAAGUAGUUUGGGGGUGAGCUUUUGAGAAGCAGAUUUGUGUCAGAUGCUUACAAACAGCAGAAAGAAGUCUUCCUAAUGGCAAGGUGGUUGCUCCCUGCAACUAUAGAGCACGUACACGUGAAGCUGUGUCUGCAUUCAAGAAGAAAUGAGGAUGUAUGCUUGAAUGAACAUUUGGAUAUUCAAAUAUUUAUUCAUUUCUACUGAAAGUAUAGCAAUUUUAGAGGAAAACAGAGAUCUCUUUGCUGUCUACAAAUGGUGAAUGAGAAGUAGAAAACUACGGAUGAACUGUUUUGGUUUAAUAUUAGUCAGGCAGCCUAGAAGUAAAACCUGACCUACCAUUACACAUACAGUCCAGAUUCAGUAACAAGCCUCAGUGGUAAUGCUCAGAAAGUCUCAGGAGUCAGGCAAGCAGGAAACUUACAGACCAUUUACCAUAAACAUCUAAUUUAAUCAUCACCCCAUGUCUUUUUCAUGUUAUGAUCCUUCCUUUGAUUUCGUCCACCUGUUUUAACUUCCCUCAAACCCAGACCACAGCUUAUGGCCAGCUCCAUCCCCUCUCUAUCUUGUACACCAAGGCUGUCUGGAGCCAGCUGCUAUACCAGCAGGAAACCAUUCAUGUGCAGACAGCCUUUAGCUGUAUGUCUAUGUACAAAGCACACCCAUUUCAGAGACAGACCGCAGUCAAAAACAAGAUUUUAGACAUUUACAAACCUGCAAGAAGUUAGAGAAGCCAACACCUCCAAUUUACUCAUAUAUUUUCUUUCCCUGGACGAUGAGGUAAUGUACUUACAAAUAAUUCAAGAGCAAAAACACUGAUACAGAUAAAGUGCAAAAACUCUCAUGAACAUUAAGAAGAUACAAAGAGAAAUACUGAUUUUGUGAAAACAGUUUCCCAGUCAGUCUUCAAGCUCACUCUUCAGCCGCUGUGAGAGUAGCAUCUCCUUUUGAUGGGAUUAUUUCUGUUAUAGUUACUGACUUAAAGAAUAAUUUAUCAGAACUAUAAUAUGCAGAGAUGUACUCAGUUGUAUAACUCAGUGUUAGUGCACAUUAUCCUUUGUAGUGCUAAUGGGUUUUAUUUGGCUUUCUAUUUUCGUUGUCAAGUCACUCAACUGAGAGACAGCCACAGCAGUCAUUUACAGAGUGACUAAGUUACAUAGGAGUAUCUAUCGGGAUGCACAGUCAUAUCUAGUGACAGCUGCAAGGAGAGUUUCCGUAAGUUGAAUGCAAUUAGUGAACAGAAACAUAGCCAGCGUUUGUGCAGUAAUGUUACAGUAUCCACGUGGCUCAUAAUGAGCCAUUUUACUUCUGAUCAUAGUCAUUGGGGCAGCAGCUCCAGUGGGUGCCAUGGCAUUGCUGCUGUCAGCUGGUGUUUCCCAGCCUCAGGCUGCUCCUGGAGGGCACCUCACACAAGCACAUCUGCCCUGUUUACACACAGGAAAUCCUUCCAAACAGAGCCAAUUUCAACACUAUCAGCCUCCGUAAUAAGCUGUGCAAAGCUUUACUGAGUAUCAUAAGUCUGUUUGGGCCUUUCCGAGUGGUGAUGGCCACGAUGCACUGCACAGGUGGUGAGAAGGAUGUGCUGUGCCUGAGCUCUGCGUCCCACAGACAUGGGACCCACAGGGCCUUCCUGGAGGACAAGCGAUAGCACUGCCCUCUGUGUGCUUAUAGAGGAGAAAUUCCUCCCUCCCUCUCCCCCAUACAACCUGGAACCAAGGUUUUGAGAGCACCUUCAUGCUUUUUUUGUUUUAUGCGCCUUAAGAGCCUGAAGAAGCGGUGAAGAAAAUCUUAUCCAAGGUGUUUACUGACCAUAAAAAACAGCCAAGGACAGAACACAGUGGAACAGAUAAACCUUGUGGUUGUGAAAUAUGACUCAUGCGGGUGGUUAAAGAGAGGGAGAGCAAAACACAUUCAUCUUAACAUGCGGAGUUGGAUUCUGUUCUCUCAAUUUCUAUGACAAAUGUCCAGGUCCCACCUUAUCAACUGCACCUGUUUAACAACAGCAGCUGAACUGCAGGGGCUGGACAGAGAAUUUAAUGUUGUUCCUCAGAAAGUCUGCCACUUCAUUUCUAAUGGCAAAUGUGAGGUAAGAUUUUCUCCCCAAGAAGCAGUUUAAUUUGUUAUCAAGAAUAUGAAGAGAAACUCAUAGA